UCCACUAAUCUCUAAACUCUUUCUUCACGGUCAUUUUCAAUUUGCGUUUUUCAGUUACUUUCACUUUAAUUUUUAAUUCCCCUCUAACUUUGAUUCACUGAUUUGUCACCAUAACAGCUGCUUAUUUUGACGCCCAUGAAGUGUUCGAAAAUAUGCCCAAUACCUUGCCCACGGAUUCAGAAAAUGCUGCAAAUUUACUCAACACUUGCCGCAUAACAACUGCUUAUGUCGCCAUGAAAUAUUCAAAAAUAUGCCCUAUAGGUUGACCUUGCCCAUGGAUUCAUGAAAUGCUGCAAAUUUACUCAACAUUUGCCGGUUGAUAGAUGGUAGUUUAAACCAACAAAAGGCCGUGAAAAAAUUCAGUUUGACCUUUCUCCAUUCGUAUUUGAGG
Molecule: long non-coding RNA, 391 nt
Organism: Nicotiana tabacum (common tobacco)
Lineage: Eukaryota; Viridiplantae; Streptophyta; Magnoliopsida; Solanales; Solanaceae
Source: RefSeq, a predicted model, not a curated record